ACCCUCCACAUUCCUUACCCAUCAGACCUAAACAUUGAUCUGAGUAGAUAUAAAAGGAGGAGAUGUAAGAUCGAAAUGGACUUAAAUCCUUUUGUGACACACAAGUGAGUGUCAAACAAAG
RNAcentral lists this small nucleolar RNA (121 nucleotides) under Echinops telfairi (small Madagascar hedgehog). RNAcentral's name for it is "Small nucleolar RNA SNORA61 (ENSETEG00000024450.1)". The record is from RNAcentral. Lineage: Eukaryota; Metazoa; Chordata; Mammalia; Afrosoricida; Tenrecidae.